CCGAGUUUACAACUCCCAAACCCCUGUGAACAUACCUAUAUGUUGCCUCGGCGGAUCAGCCCGCGCCCCGUAAAACGGGACGGUCCGCCGCAGGAUCCACAAACUCUGUUUUUAUUGUAACUUCUGAGUAACAAAACAAAUAAAUCA
Molecule: unclassified non-coding RNA, 147 nt
Filed under: soil metagenome
Description: partial internal transcribed spacer 1
Source: RNAcentral